Molecule: ribosomal RNA, 510 nt
Filed under: uncultured bacterium
Lineage: Bacteria
Description: partial 16S ribosomal RNA
Rfam family: Bacterial small subunit ribosomal RNA
Source: RNAcentral
GACGAGCGCUGGCGGCGUGCUUAACACAUGCAAGUCGAACGAAGAGCGAUGGAAGCUUGCUUCUAUCAAUCUUAGUGGCGAACGGGUGAGUAACGCGUAAUCAACCUGCCCUUCAGAGGGGGACAACAGUUGGAAACGACUGCUAAUACCGCAUACGAUCCAAUCUCGGCAUCGGGACUGGAUGAAAGGUGGCCUCUAUUUAUAAGCUAUCACUGAAGGAGGGGAUAGCGUCUGAUUAGCUAGAUGGAGGGGUAACGGCCCACCUAGGCGAUGAUCAGUAGCCGGUCUGCGAGGAUGGACGGCCACAUUGGGACUGUGACACGGCCCAUACUCCUACGGGAGGCAGCAGUGGGGAAUCGUCCGCCAUGGGCGAAAGUCUGUCGGAGCAACGCCGCGUGAGUGAUGACGGCCUUCGGGUUGUAAAGCUCGGUUAUUCGGGACGAAUGGUUCUUGUGCGAAUAGGGCGAGGAUUUGACGGUACCGGAAUAGAAAGCCACGGCUAACUACGUG